UCUAUAACAUAAAAUCAUACCGGAUACUAUGAACCCUGUUUAAAAUUCAAAGAACUUGGCGGUAUCUUAUACAGUCAGGGGAACCUGUCCCUUAAUUCGAUAAUCCACGAACGUCAUACCCGCCUUUGUAAAUUCAGCUUGUGUACUGCCGUCGAAUGUAUACCUCAAAGAGUAAGUGUACAAUAAUAAUACUACUGACGUCAGGUCAAAGUGCAGCUAAUAGGCGGGGGGAGAUGGGUUACAACUAUCAGUUAAAAGCCAAUAACUCUUAAAAAAGAGUAAAAAAGAUGGACUUGAAAGUAAUAAUUAUACCAAACAAUUAUGAAUAGGAUAUCUAAGAUAUGCACACAUCGCCCGUCGCUCUCGUCGAAAGAUG
This 376-nucleotide ribosomal RNA is filed under the name Limnodrilus hoffmeisteri complex sp. II. RNAcentral's name for it is "partial 12S ribosomal RNA". It matches the Rfam family "Bacterial small subunit ribosomal RNA", at positions 875 to 1415 of the family's 1533-position model. The record is from RNAcentral. Lineage: Eukaryota; Metazoa; Annelida; Clitellata; Tubificida; Naididae.